Molecule: ribosomal RNA, 455 nt
Filed under: uncultured bacterium
Lineage: Bacteria
Description: bacterial SSU rRNA
Rfam family: Bacterial small subunit ribosomal RNA
Source: RNAcentral
UACGGGAGGCAGCGAGUGGGGAAUAUUGCACAAUGGGCGAAAGCCUGAUGCAGCUAUGCCGCGUGUAUGAAGAAGGCCUUAGGGUUGUAAAGUACUUUCAUCGGGGAGGAAAAACAAAACUAAUAAUUUUAUUUCUUGACGUUACCCGAAAAAGAAGCACCGGCUAACUCCGUGCCAGCAGCCGCGGUAAUACGGGAGGGUGCUAGCGUUAAUCAGAAUUACUGGGCGUAAAGAGCACGUAGGUGGUUUUUUAAGUCAGAUGUGAAAUCCCUGGGCUUAACCUAGGAACUGCAUUUUGAAACUGAAAUACUAGAGUAUCGUAGAGGGAGGUAGAAUUCUAGGUGUAGCGGUGAAAUGCGUAGAUAUCUGGAGGAAUACCUGUGGCGAAAGCGGCCUCCUAAACGAAUACUGACACUGAGGUGCGAAAGCGUGGGGAGCAAACAGGAUUAGAUACC